UUUAAUUUAAUAGGACCGAGUUGGACCAAAAUUCAUCAAUUUGAAUUUUACUAAAAUUAUACAUACAAGCCCAUGUCUGUUGUCUCUGUGCCUCCAUCAACCUAACGGGAAGCACUUCCAUAUCUACUCGAAAUUGAACCUAAAAGGACUCCUGUAAGAGAUGAGAAGACAGAAAAAGUCUUAAACUUUAACGAAAUUUGUAAGGAGACGAAGAGAGAGAGAGGGAGAAUAAGAGGAGGGAGUGAGGAGAACCUGAACAGCUUAUGUGUCUAGAUCCGGUCAAGCGUAAACCCUAGAUUUUGG
Molecule: long non-coding RNA, 303 nt
Filed under: Eutrema salsugineum
Lineage: Eukaryota; Viridiplantae; Streptophyta; Magnoliopsida; Brassicales; Brassicaceae
Description: long non-coding RNA (ESAL_LNC001569)
Source: RNAcentral